RNAcentral lists this ribosomal RNA (253 nucleotides) under uncultured bacterium. Its description in RNAcentral is "partial 16S ribosomal RNA". It matches the Rfam family "Bacterial small subunit ribosomal RNA", at positions 524 to 776 of the family's 1533-position model. The record is from RNAcentral.
UACGUAGGGGGCAAGCGUUGUCCGGAUUUAUUGGGCGUAAAGAGCGUGUAGGCGGCUUUGCAAGUCCGUUGUGAAAACUCGAGGCUCAACCUCGAGACGCCGGUGGAAACUGCAAAGCUAGAGUCCGGAAGAGGAGAGUGGAAUUCCUGGUGUAGCGGUGAAAUGCGCAGAUAUCAGGAAGAACACCCGUGGCGAAGGCGGCUCUCUGGGACGGUACUGACGCUGAGGCGCGAAAGCGUGGGGAGCGAACAGG